Molecule: transfer-messenger RNA, 340 nt
Filed under: Anaerostipes rhamnosivorans
Lineage: Bacteria; Bacillati; Bacillota; Clostridia; Lachnospirales; Lachnospiraceae
Rfam family: transfer-messenger RNA
About the family: Bacterial tmRNA, also known as 10Sa RNA or SsrA, is named for its dual tRNA and mRNA-like properties. Its role is to liberate the mRNA from a stalled ribosome. To accomplish this part of the tmRNA is used as a reading frame that ends in a translation stop signal.
Source: RNAcentral
GUACUGGUUUCGACAGGGAUUCUGAAGCUCGGGAAGCCAUUCGGAGAGACCACGUUACGGUGUAAACUUAAAUUAAACGCAGAUAAUAAAUUAGCGUACGCUGCAGCCUAAGGGCUUGCAGUAGUCUGUGACAGGUCAUCUACAGCCUGUUAUUAGGCUUCAAAUAAUGUAGAACCCUCGUCUGCUUAAGCUUUGCGGCAGAUGAAGUAUUUAUGAAGCUACUGAAGUGUUGAUCCUGUCUCUGGGAGCAGCAUGGAGGGAAUGUCAAUACAGAGACUGUAAUGGGAGAUGCCUGAGGGGAUGGGUUUUUGGACGCGGGUUCGAUUCCCGCCUAGUCCAU